This 88-nucleotide transfer RNA is filed under the name Myxococcales bacterium. RNAcentral describes it as "tRNA-Ser". It matches the Rfam family "tRNA". From Rfam's summary of the family: Transfer RNA (tRNA) molecules are approximately 80 nucleotides in length. Their secondary structure includes four short double-helical elements and three loops (D, anti-codon, and T loops). Lineage: Bacteria; Pseudomonadati; Myxococcota; Myxococcia; Myxococcales. The record is from RNAcentral.
GGAGAGAUGGCAGAGCUGGUCGAAUGCGCCUGAUUCGAAAUCAGGUGUACCCGCAAGGGUACCGGGGGUUCGAAUCCCUCUCUCUCCG